Molecule: transfer RNA, 88 nt
Filed under: bacterium
Lineage: Bacteria
Also listed under: 5 other names
Description: tRNA-Leu
Rfam family: tRNA
About the family: Transfer RNA (tRNA) molecules are approximately 80 nucleotides in length. Their secondary structure includes four short double-helical elements and three loops (D, anti-codon, and T loops).
Source: RNAcentral
GCGCACGUGGCGGAAUUGGUAGACGCGCUAGAUUCAGGUUCUAGUGAGUGAAUAACUCGUGGAGGUUCGAGUCCUCUCGUGCGCACCA